Molecule: unclassified non-coding RNA, 2496 nt
Filed under: Apis dorsata (giant honeybee)
Lineage: Eukaryota; Metazoa; Arthropoda; Insecta; Hymenoptera; Apidae
Description: uncharacterized LOC102678591, transcript variant X1
Source: RNAcentral
CGUGUAAUAUUAUGUGCAACAUAAUUUGAAUAGUUCAUUAUUUGAUUAUUAAUAAAGAGAAACAAAGAUAUUGUUGUUUUAAAUGUUAAAAUGGAAACGUCAAUCAUUGCAGCCAAUGUAAUGAAUAUUGCCAAUUGUGUUUUAGAAUUGGUGUCAAAUUCUUUACACGUCAAUGCUACAUCAAUUGCAAUACGAUUUCACAGUGAAGAACGUAAAAUUCAAGUAAUAGAUAAUGGUAUAGGAAUAUCGAAAAUAGAAUUAAAAACAAUUGCAGAAUAUAAUAACAAAAAUUAUUGCAAUUAUCCAAUUAGACAUGGUAUUCAUAACUGGAGAAAGCAGACACUUAUUAACAUUCGUAGAUUGUCUAAUGCAAUGAUAAUAACUUCUAGAUAUUAUAAUUCAUCUAAAACAUAUAUGAAAAUUUUUAAAAUAUAUCACGAAUCAAACAUUGAAAGAACUGAAAGAAGACCUUCUCAGGGUACCACAAUAACUAUUUACGGAUUUCAUGAAUUAUCCUUAAGCAAAUGGAAUAUAGCUUAUAUGUAUUAUUUAAUUGAAAACAUUGCUAUAGCCAAUCCUCAAACUUCAUUCACUAUUAGAGAUGAUAAAAUUAAAAAAGUUACCAUGAUAAUUACUAAGCCACAUAAUCCAAUAAACAUUUUUAAAUCGUUAUAUAAUAAAAAAAUCAUUUUUUAUAAAUUAUGGUUUAUAAGAUCUAAACAAAAAUCUGAUAUCAAAUUCUGUGCAUAUAUUGGAAUAUCAAAUUCUAAUUCUGUUCCUCAACAUAUUUUUAUAAAUAAUAAACUUGUUCAUUGCCCUUUAAUUUUGCAAAUAAUUUCCACUAUUUUUAUCAAUACAUUAAAAUUCUUCAAAAAGGAAAUAGCAGAGAAAGAGGAAAUUUUUAUUCUAUUAUUCAUUAUAUGUACUGAAUAUAUUUUUAUUAUAGAGAAUGGAAAAAGAACUUUAAUGCUUUCCAAUAUAUAUAAUUUAUUACAAAGUAUUAAAAACAAGAUAAUAAAUAUUUUUAUAAAAGAUAUUAAACCUUUAUCUAUUAACGAUUCAAAAUGUAGCAAUAGAGUUAAUAAACAAAAAUCUAAAAACAAUGAAAUACAGCUAAUUACAGAUCAUUUAAUGCAAUUACAUACAUCUGCUUUGCAAAAUAUCAAUAUUAAUACAAAAAGCAUUCAAUUAACACUUUCUGAGUGGUCUAAUUGGUCUAAUUCUAAAAAUUUGAAACAAUGUGAAAAUAAUUCUUUAAGAUUUUAUAAGCAUUUUGAUUUUUUACCAAAAAAAUUACAUAAACUAUUGCGUGGAGAUACAAAAUUAAUACAAACUAAUAUUUUAAAUGCAUAUGAUGAAAAUUUAUACUCAAUUAAAGUAAAAUCUGAAUUGCAAAGUAAGUUAUUCUUUUAAAUUAUUUUUUCAAUUAUAAUAAAUUAAAUUAAAUCUAAUUUAUAAUAUUUAAUUUAUGUUCUAAGUUCCAGAUAUAUUACCUCAUCAAGAAAUUGAUGUGCGUCUAUGUAAAAAUGACCAAUUUCGUGAAUUUAAAAUAAAUAAAAAACUGUUAAAACUUAUUAAAAUAUUAGGACAGAUGAACAAUGAAUUAAUAAUAGGAUUAAUAAUUCAAAAUAAUAUAAAGAUGCUUUUAUUAAUGGAUCAACAUGCAAUUCAUGAAAGAAUAAGAUAUGAACAGUUACUUCAUGGUAAAAAUUUAUAAUAUAAUUUUACUAUUGUUUAUUUAUGAUAUAAUUUUUAAUAUUUAUAAUAUAAUAUAAUUUCAUAUAAAAGAAAAUAUUAGUAUAAUAUUAAAAUAUAUUAAUUAUAAAAUAUUAAUUUUUAGAAUACAAAUCACAAAUAAGAAACCAAUUAUUUUCUAUCAAAUUAAAAAAUCCUAUAGUUAUACAGCUAUCUGCAAAGAAUUGCAAUUUACUUUUAUCUAAUCAUAAAAUAUUAAAAAGAUUUGGUAUAACUUUUAACAUAUUAGAUAACAAUAAUAUAAUAAUACGAACAGUACCAGAAUGUUUAAAAAAAAGCAAUUAUAGCGAAUUGAAAUUAAAGUUAAAUAUACAAAAUCUUUUAAACGAAUUAAUACAAAAUUCUACAAAAUAUAUAAACUAUCAAAUUAAUGAUUUACCAAUUACUAUACAUAAUGCAGUUGUAAUGAAAGCUUGCCAUGGUAUGCUCUUUUUUUCUUUUAUAUUUAUAUAUAUUUUUAAUUUCAUAAACAAUUUAACAAACAUCAUAUAUAAAAUAUAAAUAGAAAAGUUAAUAGAAUAUAUAUAUAUUUUUUAUUCAUACAUAUUAUUUAAUGUUAACAAAUAUAUUAUCACUAUCUGAGUAUUUUAGGAGCUAUAAAGUUUGGACAUUCACUAACAUUAAAAGAAUGUAAAUGGCUUUUGAAAUUAUUAAAUGAAACGAAAACUCCUACUCAAUGUGCUCACGGACGACCAUCCAUAGUGCCUCUAUUAGAAUUAACGAAUUUAGAAACACGACAGA